This 476-nucleotide ribosomal RNA is filed under the name Salmonella enterica subsp. enterica serovar Infantis. Its description in RNAcentral is "bacterial LSU rRNA". It matches the Rfam family "Bacterial large subunit ribosomal RNA", at positions 140 to 652 of the family's 2925-position model. Lineage: Bacteria; Pseudomonadati; Pseudomonadota; Gammaproteobacteria; Enterobacterales; Enterobacteriaceae. RNAcentral also lists the same sequence under 14 other names. The record is from RNAcentral.
UCGUCACACUAUCAUUAACUGAAUCCAUAGGUUAAUGAGGCGAACCGGGGGAACUGAAACAUCUAAGUACCCCGAGGAAAAGAAAUCAACCGAGAUUCCCCCAGUAGCGGCGAGCGAACGGGGAGGAGCCCAGAGCCUGAAUCAGCAUGUGUGUUAGUGGAAGCGUCUGGAAAGGCGCGCGAUACAGGGUGACAGCCCCGUACACAAAAGCGCAUGUGCUGUGAGCUCGAUGAGUAGGGCGGGACACGUGGUAUCCUGUCUGAAUAUGGGGGGACCAUCCUCCAAGGCUAAAUACUCCUGACUGACCGAUAGUGAACCAGUACCGUGAGGGAAAGGCGAAAAGAACCCCGGCGAGGGGAGUGAAAAAGAACCUGAAACCGUGUACGUACAAGCAGUGGGAGCACAGGUUUACCUGUGUGACUGCGUACCUUUUGUAUAAUGGGUCAGCGACUUAUAUUCUGUAGCAAGGUUAACCG